Molecule: long non-coding RNA, 1630 nt
Organism: Oryzias melastigma (Indian medaka)
Lineage: Eukaryota; Metazoa; Chordata; Actinopteri; Beloniformes; Adrianichthyidae
Exons: 2
Source: RefSeq, a predicted model, not a curated record
CAAAAUGAAACACCAUCCUAAAUCCUGUUCAGACGGAACGAGUUUGUCAAAUAAGGACUAAAGGACUAAACGUGACUUUUUGCUUUGGAAAGAUUGAAAGUUAACCUACAACCAAAACAAGUGUGUUUCUGCAUUUGUUAACAACACGGAUGUUAAUCAAAGUUAACUCAAAGUUAUAGCAAAAAUUAAAAUUGUGAGGGGCUUUAUUUGCUUAAAGUAAGUCAGAAACACUGCUCCAGUGUCAUGAUUUUAAAAAAAGUGUCACAAAUUUCUGAAAAAAAUUAAAAACAGGAAAAUGUAGAGAGCAUCUACAAACUCCAAAUGGCCUUUAAAUGUCUAUUUGAAGGAGACGUUGGCCGUUUUCUCUUGGAUGCAAGCCUCCCUCUUAAAAAUGUUAGUAGUCAAAUGCAUUUUAAUCAAACACAUAACCAAACUUAACGAAAUGCAAACUAACUUGGUAUCUGUCAAUCAUUAAGCAAGAAAACACCUGGGUGUUUGUUGCAGGGCUGAAACAGACUAUAACACAAUUACUAAGGCACUUCUCAUUGGGUAAGAGUGAAUUUCUAUUGCACAAUUGUUGCACAGAGUCCCUCAAAAACAAUGGUAAAUACUCACACUGGGUUCACAGACUUGUGUUGCCAUUUAUGCGAAUGCAAGACUUUUCACUUCUGCAGGGGGUUGAAAACUUCUGCAAACAUUUUUUUAAAUUUACCUGGUAAAUCCAUGCGGUAAAACAACGUCAGAAUAGGAAGAACUUAUUCAUAUAAUUUUUAACAGAUGAAGUCACAUUUUUUUUUUUUUUAUUACAAAAUUCUUUAUAAUUUACCUGUGAAAAUGUAAUGAAAAUAAAAAUAAGUAUGAUGCAAAAAGACAAAACAAAUACAAGGCAAAUAGACUAAGCUUGUUUUUUUCAAAGAAUAGGCAGAAUUAUGUGAAUAUGUGGUGAAAUAAGACACUAAUUUGUAUUAUACAGUUACAAUUAGGGUAAAUAUAAAUGAACUGACGUUUUUGUGGGGCUUAUAUAUAUAUAAAAAAAAAAAACAGAUUUUUUUUCUCUAAAGAUAGAAAAGUUGGCUCACAUAACUUCCUUUCAAAAUAAAAGACACCUUGUUCAGCCUCUAGUUUAUUUGCUUGGGUUAAUAUAGUUUCUUCUUUUAGUUACAAGUUAUGUUUAGUUUGAGCUUUUAUUUUGAAGGCCUUUUUUGCAGGAAGUCCUAGUCGGCCAUAUUAGUUAAUCAUUCUACCAUGUGGUCUCAUCACCUGCUUUCAUUCUCCUCUCGUUUGCAUCUCCAACCCCAUCGUCUAACUCUGGUGUGACUUUUUCACUCGUACUUGUCCGCUGUCCCUUUCAGCACCAGACAGGUAAUUGUGAUGCUCCCUGUGUAUCAUUAUCCCAAAAUUGGAAUUGUGAUCACACUCCCCUGUGAUCACAGACAUUUUACAUAUUUUCUCAUCAUCCAUAAUCACAGUUUAUGCAUUAACAGCCUCCUGCGAGUCAGAGGGUUGAAGCCUUUCACUCUUUGAACGCAAUGGCCCUAUUUCCACUAGUUUAGAGGAGACAUUUAGGGAAAAGCUUUCUGAAAUCACCCACAUUUGUUUAUGCUUUGGAAAAUAAAAAAAAAAAAAAAAA